AUGGGGAAGUGGACACAGCCAAGCGGCUGCUGGGGAAAGAUGCAGCCUGCACAAGAGGCGCCCCUGCUGACUCACGCUUAUGAAAGUGGUUUUCUGGCCCCGCCCCCGCCCGCCUCCUCCCGGCCCGUGAAAUACCCCGGCCUCUCGCCUCGCACCGGCUCCUCGGUCCCCGCGGCGGCGGCCGGCUCGGCGGAGGCUCCCGGAGCGCCCCCCGCGCCGCCAGGUGAGUGGCCGGGCAGGGCCUGCGGGGGGAGGGGGGCGCGGGGGCGGGGGAGGGGCGGAGGCGCCCCGCGGGGCCCGGCCCGACGCUCCCGCCGCGCCUGCCCGGUGCCCGCCCCCGCGGCCGCAGCCGCCCCGCCGCCCCGCCACGUGACGCGCCUCGGGCAGGAAGGGAGGCGUGGCCGCCCCGGGCCUGGGUCCCGCGGGCUGGGCGCUGCUCCGUCCCUGCCCUGCAGCCCAGCGCGGCCGCCCGGGGUGCGCGGGGUGCGCGGGGUGCUCGGGGUGUCCGGGGUGCUCGGGGUGCGCGGGGUGCUCAGGGUGUCCGGGGUGCUCGGGGUGCGCGGGGUGCUCAGGGUGUCCGGGGUGCUCGGGGUGCACGGGGUGUCCGGGGUGCGCGGGGUGCGCGGGGUGCUCGGGGUGUCCGGAGUGCUCGGGGUGCUCUGGGUGCGCGGGGUGCUCGGGGUGUCCGGGGUGCUCUGGGUGCGCGGGGUGCUCGGGGUGCGCGGGGUGCUCAGGGUGUCCGGGGUGCUCAGGGUGCGCGGGGUGUGCGGGGUGCUCCGGGUGCGCGGGGUGCCCGGGGUGCCGAGCGCCGGCUGGGCUCCGUGGAGAGGGCCCCGGAGGGGAGCUGCGGCAGGCGGCCCUCGUGGGCGGUGCCCCCCGCCCCUGCCGCGGCCUCCCUCACCUCGGCUCCUGCCCCGGGGCCUCGCCCACUGCCCCCCGCCCGCCAGCAGGUGCUGCAGGCAGGACCGGCGCUCGUGGGCUCUGUCGGGGGCAUUCCGGGGCAAGGCCCGGCCCCACCGCGGUCUGCGCCCCCAGCCGGGUUAG
Molecule: long non-coding RNA, 1044 nt
Filed under: Canis lupus familiaris (dog)
Lineage: Eukaryota; Metazoa; Chordata; Mammalia; Carnivora; Canidae
Description: lncRNA (ENSCAFG00030000772.1)
Source: RNAcentral